GACCUCAGUGGUGUAGUGGUAGCACGCGCCUCGGAUGUGUGAAACGCGGGUUCAACUCUCGCUGAGAUUG
Non-coding RNA from Parelaphostrongylus tenuis, 70 nucleotides. Lineage: Eukaryota; Metazoa; Nematoda; Chromadorea; Rhabditida; Metastrongylidae. The record is from the annotation of a GenBank genome assembly.